AAGGAGGAAGAGCAUUUGAUGGGAGGGGCAUCUAUUAGCAGUAGUCCAGUUAUGUCCUUCAGGACGCAACACUCAUUGCCAGCUCAAGGGGAAGAACCAUGAUUGAGAUUAGCCAAUCUGGAUGUGCCGUUUCCUCUUGCCAGUGGUUUAGGCAUGUGACUCCUCCAUCGUGACCAAGAAGAACAAGCCAGUGGAUAGCCAAUGUGCUGAAGAUGGCAGAGCUGAAAGAUGGAAGGAAUGUAGGUCCUUGAUCCAAUGGGAAGCACUGAUAAGAGACUGGAAAAAAGAAGCCAAGGUAUUACUCCCUCUCUCUCUGCUUUUUGCUAUGCUUCAUUUCUUCCAUGGUUUCAGCUUCUGGGAGACCGCCCUUAUCCUCUAGGGUCCCAGUUCCUGCUGGAAAGUCCCUGCCUUUUCUCAGUGGCUUCUGUGUUUGCCUCCCUGUCACAUUUGGUCUUUCAGCACUCCUGACAUGUUUGUAAUUAAUUUUCCAUAUUA
Molecule: long non-coding RNA, 495 nt
Filed under: Equus asinus (donkey)
Lineage: Eukaryota; Metazoa; Chordata; Mammalia; Perissodactyla; Equidae
Description: lncRNA (ENSEASG00005032434.1)
Source: RNAcentral